UACGUAGGCAGCAAGCGUUGUUCGGAAUUACUGGGCGUAAAGAGUGCGUAGGUGGUGUUCCAAGUCUGGUGUGAAAUCUCCCGGCUCAACUGGGAGGGUGCGCCGGAAACUGGAAUGCUUGAGGGUGGGAGAGGUAAGCGGAAUUCCUGGUGUAGCGGUGAAAUGCGUAGAUAUCAGGAGGAACACCUGUGGUGUAGACAGCUUACUGGACCACUUCUGACACUGAGGCACGAAAGCGUGGGUAGCAAACAGG
Molecule: ribosomal RNA, 253 nt
Filed under: uncultured bacterium
Lineage: Bacteria
Description: partial 16S ribosomal RNA
Rfam family: Bacterial small subunit ribosomal RNA
Source: RNAcentral